ACUAUGCAGAUCUUCAUCCUCCGAACCAACGAGUCGCGACAGAUGCGCCAUUCGGAGAGUAGGCAGCUUUGCAGUGUGAUUCCGCGAGGGGAUGGGGUGGGGGAAACUUCCUGCAACUCCAUGGAUGGUCAGUGACGGAAACGUAAACAUCCGCGCGAUUCUAGUAUGUGUCAAACGACAUCAACGGUGAAACUCCUUCCUUUCCAGUCCAAUCCCAUCGUUUCUGCAGAAUCAUUAACUUCAAAUAAUUUCAUCUUAAAAAUCGUUAACUAAUUCUACAUAAACCCAGAUAGUUUUCAGAUCUAACAAAACUAACCAGCAACAAAAUAAAUUUGUAAAAUAGCCCCUCUGACACAAGAUAUCCAUUAACCAAUCAAAGGAGGGAAGAAAAAAGGUGAUCUCUACCAUUGGAUUAAAAAAACGAAAAAAAUCUGAUGGACAGCAUCUAAAAGCGCACCGGUCAACCAAAGAGAAGUGCUAUGCGCACACUGAUGUGCCAAAGAUCUUCGGCACAUGGAAUCCGUGCCCCACACGAUGGCGCCGGCGCGGCUGGGAGCCACCAUCGCCAUCGCUAUUGAAUGGUGGAGAGAGAGAGAGAGAUUGAAUUGAGGUGUGAGAAAGGGAGGCGUUGAGAGAGAAGACACGAUCGAGGAGAAGGAGGCAUUGUCUCGCACCGCCGUUGUGUCUAUCGUUGCCGUCGAAGCUUUGAUCACCAUCGCUGAAGAUCCCAUCAUCGUCCCUGCAUGCGAGAGAGAAGAGAAACGCGAUAGAGGAAGAGUUGUUCCUCCGCCGCUAUUCCCAUUGUCGCCAUCACUGGAGGUUACGGUCGCCGUCACUGGUGGUAGUGAAACAGGCCGUCGUCCUUGCUGCCAGAGCUAGUUGGGUUGGUGCUGCUGCCACUGUUAAGGGUGUUCUUGCCUCUGAUUCUCGUUUUUCAGAUUGUUGGAGAUGCCGCCGCCACCGUAUGGUUGCUUCGGCUGCCGCUGAGACUUCCUAUCAUCGUUGGAGCUACUGCCGUUCCAUUUCCUUGCACCUCCCUAAUUGCAGGUUGAGCCACUGCAGCUGCGGACUGGGAUUGUUGCUUUUGCUACCACAUUGUUAUGGCAUAGUUGCUGUGAAUAUUGCGGCUGUCGCUACCGCUAUUGUUACCAUGCUGUUGAGUUACUUUGAGGUAGGGAUUCUUCUUAAACUUAUUUUAUUUCAAGAAAUUGUUAUAGAUCGAUAUCAAUGUGAAAAUUAUAUUUUUAGUGAUUGUGUGAGUCUUAUGAAUUAAAUUGGACAAUUUUGGAGAAAUAGAAUUUGUUAAAUGCGGAUGGAUAUUAAAGUAAUAAAAUAGAUUAAAAACAAUAGUUGAAGUUUCCUAAUGGGUGGAUUAGGAUUUGUGAAUAUCUUGCAUCUUAAUUGAGAAUAUGAGUUGUAAUUAUUUGAUUGCUUGGACCGUUGGAUGUGCUUUAUAAUUGAUUUUCAGUGAAAAUAAAUAGUGUUACAAAUUGAUGAAUUUAGUUUGAUUACUAGAAUUUAGUGCUAUGGAAACUUAAAACGCAAGUUGAAUCCUAAUUAAUCAUGUUGUGUUUGGUUUGAAAUUGAAGGAUUAAAUAUGGUUAAUUCAUAAGAAUUGAAUGAGCUAUUAGUGAAUUGUUUUGAUUUCAAUAAAAGGAGGUUGAUUGUUAUGUUGAGUUUAUGGUUUUGUGCAUAAGAAUGAAGGAUCUAAAUUGAUGUUGGAAAAUGAUAGAAUAUAUGGUAUAAAGUUGGUUGAAUAUGAGGGAUCCUUUAGUGAUAGUUAUGUCUAAGUGAAUUAGCACAAACUUUAAUAAGUUUUUAAAUUUUUUAUCUCUAAAAGUCAUGAUAAUUAUGUGCGGUUUAUUAACAUGGAUAAUAAUUAUAAUUAAUGAAUGAUCUGUUAUAUGUAUAUAGACUACGUUUGAGGAAAGAGUAGCCAAGAAAUGGUGAAUUUUUUUUGGGUCGGUUGAGGUAUUAUGACCCUUGAGGUUUAAAGUUUCUGUUAUUCAGAUUAUCUUAAAAGAAUGAGACCUUUGGUUAAAUUUAGAAAUGUACUAAGAAUCUAAAGUAGAAUUUGAGUCUUAGGUUGAACCUAAGCAUUAUUUGAGUCAAUUUGAGAAAGUUUAAAAGUGAAUGGUAUGUUAUAUUAUCUGAUAACAGAGUAUGACGUCUGAUUGAAUUUUUGAAGGAUAUGUGAACCUAACUGUGAAUUUAAGAAUAAUUAAGUGAAGAAUAUAAUUUCUGGCAUAGUAUGGACCUAAUAUAUUACUAUUGAAAGUAAAGGUCAAAGUAUAAUUUUAAAAAGAAAAGGUCCAAUAUAUGAUUAAAGAAAAUAUGUUAUUUGAAUUAUGAUAUGAUUGUUUAAUUAGCAAGAACGUGAAUUUUGUCCCGCAUGCGUGAAUAAAUAUGAUUAUUCUGAUUGAGAAUUGGUUAAUGAUUAUUGAUUACUUGCCUAGAAAGGAUAAUGAUUUUGUCUCGCUUGCUCAAUGCUGUGGUGUGGAUAUGCGAUGGUGGUUUUGUCCCGCCUACAUUCUCUUUGAUUGCAAGGUGGAAAGGAACUCUUCUUCGUUUUAUAUGACACGGCCUCACAGGAGAAGGUCGUAGGCACUCUUCCUCGAUUUAUUUUCUCUGGUGAUACCUCCAAGAGAAGGUAGUAGGGCACACUCCCUCGAUUAUAUUCCUCCUGGAAAUGCGCAACAAAGAAAUGAUGUUUGGGUUAGCUACCAGAUGUGUUAGGUCUGAAAACGUAAUUGACAUGUGAGUUCACAGCCAGUAGUACUGGCAUGCAUCAUACUAUAUUUGUUUGUAUAUUGCUUGAAAUUGGUUAUCUAUUUGUCUGUACUUGUAUAAUUAAAAUAUGUGUGAUUGUUUGCUUGAUUGUUUACUUUUUUGUGAUUGAGGUUGUUGGUUUAGAAUCAAAAUAAGUGAUGGUAGUCUUUAAAAACAGAGAUUAACUGGAUGGUAAAUCUGAAAAGAAAUAUAAAGUGAGUACCCUAUGAUCAAAAGUAUGAAAAUUAAACAACGGAAAAAUUAAAUUAGUUAUUUAUGAGAAAAUGAUAGUUUAGAAAAGAAAAAGGGCAUUGAGGAAUGAGUUAUGAGAGAGAAACAGUUGAAUUCUAAAAGUUGAGAAAACAAAAUAAAUUUGUAAGAGAAAAAUUCAUAAGACAAGUAUUGAUUAACUGCCAUAAGGCAAAUUAUGU
Molecule: non-coding RNA, 3200 nt
Organism: Arachis ipaensis
Lineage: Eukaryota; Viridiplantae; Streptophyta; Magnoliopsida; Fabales; Fabaceae
Source: RefSeq, a predicted model, not a curated record